GCAGUCGUGGCCGAGUGGUCAAGGCGAUGGACUAGAAAUCUAAUGGGGACCCCGCACAGGUUCGAAUCCUGUCGACUGCG
This is a non-coding RNA of Ixodes scapularis (black-legged tick), 80 nucleotides long. NCBI's taxonomy places the organism in Eukaryota, Metazoa, Arthropoda, Arachnida, Ixodida, Ixodidae. The record is from Rfam.